GAUUCACUACAGACCGACAGCAAAGACACACACACACACACACACACACACGGCUGGUCACUGUGCCACACCGCCAAGCAGCACUAUCUCAUGCCAAUGUGCCAGUCACAGCUGAAAGGAGCGGAAGCUGUGAUGCAGUAGAUCCUGACUGAAGUAAUACUAAGGAGGAGAUGAAUGGGGGGACUGUGAUUGCAGGUUGCCAGAUUCUCCUCCCUGACAAUGCAGCCAGGGCCCAGCAUCCGCCACUCACUGGAGCCCCUUUCAGGAUGUUUUCAUUUACAGUUGCCAUGGAGAGGGGUCCCUUGACUGAUGAUGUGUGAGGUAUAGGCGGGAAUGUGUAUGUGUAUGUGUUUUGGUGGUGUGUUUAUGUGACUGCGUGUUUGUGUGUUCAUGGUUGUGUGUGUUUCUGCACAUACACGCACGUGAAGGCAUACAUGUGUGAGUGGGACCUCAGGCUCUGCUCAGGGGAUAUGGGGUCCUGGUGUAGGAGGUAUUCAUGAAAGGCUGUUGAACACGGGGUCCUGGUGUAGGAGGUAUUCAUGAAAGGCUGUUGAACAUGGGGUCCUGGUGUAGGAGGUAUUCAUGAAAGGCUGUUGAACAUGGGGUCCUGGUGUAGGAGGUAUUCAUGAAAGGCUGUUGAACAUGGGGUCCUGGUGUAGGAGGUAUUCAUGAAAGGCUGUUGAACAUGGGGUCCUGGUGUAGGAGGUAUUCAUGAAAGGCUGUUGAACAUGGGGUCCUGGUGUAGGAGGUAUUCAUGAAAGGCUGUUGAACAUGGGGUCCUGGUGUAGGAGGUAUUCAUGAAUGGCUGUUGAACAUGGGGUCCUGGUGUAGGAGGUAUUCAUGAAAGGCUGUUGAACAUGGGGUCCUGGUGUAGGAGGUAUUCAUGAAAGGCUGUUGAACAUGGGGUCCUGGUGUAGGAGGUAUUCAUGAAAGGCUGUUGAACAUGGGGUCCUGGUGUAGGAGGUAUUCAUGAAAGGCUGUUGAACAUGGGGUCCUGGUGUAGGAGGUAUUCAUGAAAGGCUGUUGAACAUGGGGUCCUGGUGUAGGAGGUAUUCAUGAAAGGCUGUUGAACAUGGGGUCCUGGUGUAGGAGGUAUUCAUGAAAGGCUGUUGGAAGAAAGUGGAAUAAGACAAGAAAGUGGAAGUAUGGUGUAAUCACGAACAGCUGCUAUCCGACGGCUGUUUAUACAGCGGACAUGCACACACUACACAGAGGAAGGCACACACACACACACGUUACAAAGUAGACGACACAGCUGCCAAGGGUAGGGCACUGAUGGACUGACUACGCAACUGGGCUUAGGGGA
This is a long non-coding RNA of Oncorhynchus keta (chum salmon), 1306 nucleotides long. RefSeq lists it as uncharacterized. NCBI's taxonomy places the organism in Eukaryota, Metazoa, Chordata, Actinopteri, Salmoniformes, Salmonidae. The record is from RefSeq and is a predicted model, not a curated record. The transcript has 3 exons.